Molecule: long non-coding RNA, 2319 nt
Organism: Larimichthys crocea (large yellow croaker)
Lineage: Eukaryota; Metazoa; Chordata; Actinopteri; Sciaenidae
Exons: 2
Source: RefSeq, a predicted model, not a curated record
UUGGGUACAAUUUAAUACAUAAAUGUCAAAUAUUUACAGGAAUAAAACACUGGUCAUUAACUUAAUUUAGUAAUCAGUAAUGAUAAUUAAGACAGUUGUGCUCAUGUCGUGCAGGGCCUCUUAUUUAAAUCUCUCAUUACGCCUGUCCAGAUGUUUCAAACCUCUGAAAUGGAAACAUAAAGUACUUUUCAGUUAAUGACACAUUCCCCUCAGAGGAUGAUCAAAACUCUUUCACACUGUCUCUCUCUUUCUCUCUUUCUUUCUUUCCUUCACUUUUAAUCAGCCUGCUCAUAUAAAAACUCAUUUCCACUGUGCUAAAGUGGAGUGAGGGCGAGGAGGGAGGGCGAGGCUGGACAAAGCUUGAAACACGUGGUAGAGAAGCGGAGGACGUGUGAGACUACAUGUUGUAACGGCAUUUAAAUUACAUUUAGAAAACAUUAAAGGAAAACAUUUCCCCUCUUCAGUUAACUGCAAACACUUUAAUCGAACACCGAACAAGUUUCCCCUGAUUACUUUGGAUAAAGCCGAUGUGUUUGCACAAUGAGACCCCUUCCUCUCUCUCUCUCUUUUUUUUUGUCUCUACGUGUCGAGAAGAACUUAUCUACGAAUGCAAAUUGAAAUUUGUAGAAAAAAAAACUGGAGCAUUUCUGCUGCAGAUAAACAGUUGGAGCCAAACCAGUCCACCCAGAUAGUCCUACGUCCAUCUUUAUCUACACCCACAGGAGGACCUCUCACACCCCAAAACCAGCUCCCACACCCUAACUACAAUGACGGCCACGAUGUCCCACCUAACCCUUAACUUAAGAAAUCGCAGUUACAUCCAUAAACAAAGACCCAGUUACUUGAAUUGAAUUAUUGCUUUAAAAUAUUAAGAACUGCAGUCCUCCACCCUCUGUAGGUUUACUAUGAUAAAUGAACCUGACCUUAGAAAGGUGGUGUAGAGGUAGCCGAGGACGUGAGUACACUGUGAAUAAUUCGGUGUUAAUGAUUUGGUGUUGCGAGCAGGUACAUUCAUCAGUUGAGAAAUCACUACACUCAAUAUCUGAAAAAGAGGUGGCUAUAAUGUGUAUAUCCUGCACUACAGGACUCUUGUUCAACUUUACAAGCUUCUGCAGCAAAUUUUAGGAACUUAAUUCACUCAAAACGUAGGAGAGCAAAGACAGCCUAUUUUUUAAAGGAUGUAGACAGACUGUCAGGGAUUAAAGACAAACUACAGCAAACUACCACCUGCUCUAUCACACUCCUGUCAUAAUUUCAUGCCGUGGGGCGUCUGUGUGACACAUCUAAUAAAAAAAUAUCCUGGAAAUCUCUCUCUGAGCGAGUUUAAUAAGUCAGAUAACGUGACAUCAGCUGACAUAUCAUAGUAUUGAAUUCCAAACCGUGAAAGAGUCACGCAUAAAUCCCAAAUGGUGCCCGGAUUCAGAGGACUUAAGAGAUGCUGAACAUUAGAUAUAAGCGAGAUAAAGCGUCAAGCUUUUUAACAGAUGAUGAGGAAAUUCUGUUUUGCUUAUAAUCAGACAUGUAUGACCGGGAAAGGUCACAUCUGAACUCUGUGAACGAAGAAUCUUUAGAGAAAUAUGCAUUUAAAAACUCCGAGCCGUGAAUGUAAGAAUAAGUCUAUAUGCAGUUAAAAAAAAAAAAGGGUGUGGGCAAUCAUUUUGAAAGAGGCAACCAGGUUUAGGACCAGAUAAGAAAAAGUUCACCCCGUGCUGCCUGGUCCACCCAGAUGUCAUCACGGUAUGCUAAUGAGCUGUGGGCCCUUUUAAGUGCCAGAGCCCAGCAUGCAGAGCAGUUAGGAGCCUGUGAACGAGACAUGGACGCAUGGAAGAAGCCAUAAAAAAAUAUAUAUAUAUACAUGAGCAUGUGGAGGAAAGAGUCAUAAAGGAUGUCCAACGCAACACUGCAUGCAAACAUGAUUACAGACAAAGCUGGGGAACUCGCUGCAAAACAUUUCUGUCUUGUGCCCUGGACAGGAUAUCAUCUUAUACUGUAAGUUUAUUAAAGAGACACUACAGUAUAGAUGAUGUACUAUCCAGGGUUUUCAUUCCACCUCCAGGCACUGUCAGCGCACGCUCAGGCCGCCCUAACGGACUGUAGGAGGACGAACGUAAACGCACACCACUGCAGAGGAGGGCCGUCAAACCGUUACCAUUACUGAGUUUAGCAAUGGUAAGGGUUCCACGGCUCUUGCUCAAUGUCAUCAGGAGCCGGAGGAUGGAAAAAAAAGUUUGUGAUUGACGUUUUAUUCAUGAUGUUUUGAUUACAUUAUGUUAAAUAAAGGUUACAGCUCCCAAAAAACAAAUGAGUAUCUCAUUAUUC